AUGAACGCUGGCGGCGUGCUUAACACAUGCAAGUCGCACGAAGCACUUUAUUUGAUUUCCUUCGGGACUGAUUAUUUUGUGACUGAGUGGCGGACGGGUGAGUAACGCGUGGGUAACCUGCCUUGUACAGGGGGAUAACAGUUGGAAACGGCUGCUAAUACCGCAUAAGCGCACGGCAUCGCAUGAUGCAGUGUGAAAAACUCCGGUGGUAUAAGAUGGACCCGCGUUGGAUUAGCUAGUUGGUGAGGUAACGGCCCACCAAGGCGACGAUCCAUAGCCGACCUGAGAGGGUGACCGGCCACAUUGGGACUGAGACACGGCCCAAACUCCUACGGGAGGCAGCAGUGGGGAAUAUUGCACAAUGGGCGAAAGCCUGAUGCAGCGACGCCGCGUGAGCGAAGAAGUAUUUCGGUAUGUAAAGCUCUAUCAGCAGGGAAGAUAAUGACGGUACCUGACUAAGAAGCACCGGCUAAAUACGUG
This 480-nucleotide ribosomal RNA is filed under the name uncultured bacterium. RNAcentral describes it as "partial 16S ribosomal RNA". It matches the Rfam family "Bacterial small subunit ribosomal RNA", at positions 29 to 507 of the family's 1533-position model. The record is from RNAcentral.